Molecule: ribosomal RNA, 453 nt
Filed under: uncultured bacterium
Lineage: Bacteria
Description: partial 16S ribosomal RNA
Rfam family: Bacterial small subunit ribosomal RNA
Source: RNAcentral
AGCGAACGCUGGCGGCAGGCUUAACACAUGCAAGUCGAGCGGGCAUCCUCGUGGUGUCAGCGGCAGACGGGUGAGUAACGCGUGGGAACGUGCCCUUCGGUUCGGAAUAACUCAGGGAAACUUGAGCUAAUACCGGAUACGCCCUUUUGGGGAAAGGUUUAUCUGCCGAAGGAUCGGCCCGCGUCUGAUUAGCUGGUUGGUGAGGUUACGGCUCACCAAGGCGACGAUCAGUAGCUGGUCUGAGAGGAUGAUCAGCCACACUGGGACUGAGACACGGCCCAGACUCCUACGGGAGGCAGCAGUGGGGAAUAUUGGACAAUGGGGGCAACCCUGAUCCAGCCAUGCCGCGUGAGUGAUGACGGCCUUAGGGUUGUACAGCUCUUUUCUCCGGGACGAUAAUGACGGUACCGGAGGAAUAAGCCCCGGCUAACUUCGUGCCAGCAGCCGCCGUAA